RNAcentral lists this ribosomal RNA (253 nucleotides) under uncultured bacterium. Its description in RNAcentral is "partial 16S ribosomal RNA". It matches the Rfam family "Bacterial small subunit ribosomal RNA", at positions 524 to 776 of the family's 1533-position model. The record is from RNAcentral.
UACAGAGGUCUCAAGCGUUGUUCGGAUUCAUUGGGCGUAAAGGGUGUGUAGGUGGCGCGCUAAGUCGGGGGUGAAAUUUCGGAGCUUAACCCCGAAACUGCAUUCGAUACUGGCGUGCUUGAGGACUGGAGAGGAGACUGGAAUUCAUGGUGUAGCAGUGAAAUGCGUAGAGAUCAUGAGGAAGACCAGUGGCGAAGGCGGGUCUCUGGACAGUUCCUGACACUGAGACACGAAGGCCAGGGGAGCAAACGGG